UGGUGGAGUGAUUUGUCUGGUUAAUUCCGAUAACGAGCGAGACCUCAGCCUAUUAACUAGUUGUGGGAAUCCACGGAUUUCUUUUAGCAACUUCUUAGAGGGACUAUCGGUGAGUAGCCGAUGGAGGUUUGAGGCAAUAACA
Molecule: ribosomal RNA, 142 nt
Filed under: uncultured eukaryote
Lineage: Eukaryota
Description: partial 18S ribosomal RNA
Rfam family: Eukaryotic small subunit ribosomal RNA
Source: RNAcentral